Molecule: long non-coding RNA, 1122 nt
Organism: Osmia bicornis bicornis
Lineage: Eukaryota; Metazoa; Arthropoda; Insecta; Hymenoptera; Megachilidae
Exons: 2
Source: RefSeq, a predicted model, not a curated record
AUCGAAGUCAAGCUAAGUGGGGGCACGGUUUCGUCAAAAGAUGGGUUACCGUGUGCUGUUGGCAACAAAUAAGGGGAUAAAGAUGAGUACAGAAAGAGUGUGAGAUUUAAAAGUACGGACAAGUAUGACAGCAGUCGAUAAUGUUCGUUGGGCAUAAAGGGACGGAAAUGUCCCUAAAAUACGCCGCCCUAAUUUGGAGGUGAAGGAUGCGAAACGCAUCUGUUAACGUCCAAAGUCUGGGAAACAGUUUAUGCUUGUAUGGGUUGUUGCAACAUCACAUCGUUCACUCGAUAUCCUUUAAUGAAUUAACAGGAACUUGCAUCACUAGGGUGAUGCAGCUCGAAAAAAUCGUUAAACAUCGGCUUCCAUCAUGUUGUUCGAGAUAAACGUGUAUUACACUUUUCAUAUUGAGAAGCUUGUUGCAUGAAAAGGCGAGACGCGUAUGUGUAGGUACAAGUCAAUGCGCGUUACCUUGUGUGCUGUACCUUUUUAUGGAAUACCGUGGCUUUAAAGCACCGUGCCCAUUAAAAAUAUCAUAUCGGUCACUAGUUUUUAUAUUACUUUCAUUCCCAACAUUUCCCGCAAAAAGAAAGAAAUUUGGUCUUUUCACGUAUCCAAUACCCAACAAAAAAGACAUCACCAACCCUUAUUCACUGAUUUGGAUGAAACUUGAUGAGUUUAUAGAAUAACCCGAGAUAAGAGUAAAGGUAUGCUUCAUUCGUGCCCAAUCGCCCUUUAAAGGUAUAAAGACUAACCUCAAAGCCAAAUGGGCUUAGAUUUUUUUGUUAACCUAAGAGCUAAAGUUCGCAGUGUUCCCUGAAAAAUACUGAACACGAAGUCGCGGUAAAAUAAAAAUUCAUACGCUACGCUAUUGUUUUCUGUUUACCUCGACGGUUCCUAUCAAUUCGGACAUUUUCAAUCUCGUAAAAGUUCGAACUACUUUUAUACCGUAAAGUUUCUUUCAAUGAAUUCUUUCUGUUAUACCGGGUUCGCUUGUUGCGGUAAUUCGAGAUUCAGGCCGAUGUCCUCGCGUCUACGCGAGAAAAACAACGCGCACCAAGAUUGAACGUAAACAACAAACAUGUACAGAAUAUAUGAUAAUUAUAUACUCUACAAAAAUUA